CUAUACAUGACUCUGCGCAUAUCAAUAAGCGGAGGAAAAGCUGUUACCUACGCUUAGGAUGUUGACGAGACUGUCGAUCUCAUCUAUACAUGACUCUGCGCAUAUCAAUAAGCGGAGGAAAAGAAACUAACUAGGAUUCCCUCAGUAACGGCGAGUGAAGCGGGAAGAGCUCAAAUUUGAAAUCUUCAAGGUUCUACCUUGACGAAUUGUAGUUUAAAGAAGUGUUUUCUGUUGGAGUUUUGGUAAAAGUUCUUUGGAAUAGGACAUCAUAGAGGGUGAGAAUCCCGUAUUUGGUCAUUCCUUCCUAGCGUUGUGAUACACUUUCAACGAGUCGGAUUGUUUGGGAAUGCAGUCCAAAAUGGGUGGUAAAUUUCAUCUAAAGCUAAAUAUUGGCGAGAGACCGAUAGCGAACAAGUACCGUGAGGGAAAGAUGAAAAGAACUUUGAAAAGAGAGUUAAACAGUACGUGAAAUUGUCAAAAGGGAAGCGUUUGACACCAGUGUUGUUUUUCCGAAAAUCAAUUACGAAUGUUUUGUUUUUAAGAAGUUAUGACUUCAUCGGCUUGCUUCUUUCUUUACGAAACUUUCUUAAUGCACUUUUCGGUUAACAAGUCAACAUCAAUUUCUUUUGUUGUAAAAGGGUAUGAGGAAGGUGGCUUUCUUUUCGGAGAAAGUGUUUAUAGCCUUGUACCUCUGCAAUCGGAGAGAUUGAGGUCUGCAGCGUAGAUCCUUCGGGGUUAGAUACAUUUGUGCUAAGUUAUAGCUUUUCAUAGACAAUUUGUUGACUAUGUUUAGUCUUGUAGCUUACUCGCUUAUGCUAUUUUACCUACGCUUAGGAUGUUGACGAGACUGUCGAUCUC
Molecule: ribosomal RNA, 858 nt
Filed under: uncultured Neocallimastigales
Lineage: Eukaryota; Fungi; Neocallimastigomycota; Neocallimastigomycetes; Neocallimastigales
Description: partial large subunit ribosomal RNA
Rfam family: Eukaryotic large subunit ribosomal RNA
Source: RNAcentral